This 323-nucleotide ribosomal RNA is filed under the name uncultured bacterium. Its description in RNAcentral is "partial 16S ribosomal RNA". It matches the Rfam family "Bacterial small subunit ribosomal RNA", at positions 354 to 693 of the family's 1533-position model. The record is from RNAcentral.
UGGGGGAAUAUUGGACAAUGGGGGGCAACCCUGAUCCAGCAAUGCCGCGUGUGUGAAGAAGGUCUUCGGAUUGUAAAGCACUUUCGACGGGGACGAUGAUGACGGUACCCGUAGAAGAAGCCCCGGCUAACUUCGUGCCAGCAGCCGCGGUAAUACGAAGGGGGCUAGCGUUGCUCGGAAUGACUGGGCGUAAAGGGCGUGUAGGCGGUUUACACAGUCAGAUGUGAAAUCCCCGGGCUUAACCUGGGAGCUGCAUUUGAUACGUGUAGACUAGAGUGUGAGAGAGGGUUGUGGAAUUCCCAGUGUAGAGGUGAAAUUCGUAG